Non-coding RNA from Pelobates cultripes (western spadefoot toad), 98 nucleotides. Lineage: Eukaryota; Metazoa; Chordata; Amphibia; Anura; Pelobatidae. The record is from the annotation of a GenBank genome assembly.
GUGUAUUUUGAUCUCUCUCUCUCUCUCUCUCUCUCUCUCUCUCUAUAUAUAUAUAUAUAUAUAUAGAGAGAGAGAGAGAGAGAGAUAUCAAAAUACAC